Molecule: transfer RNA, 74 nt
Filed under: Candidatus Sungbacteria bacterium RIFCSPHIGHO2_02_FULL_47_11
Lineage: Bacteria; Candidatus Sungiibacteriota
Description: tRNA-Arg
Rfam family: tRNA
About the family: Transfer RNA (tRNA) molecules are approximately 80 nucleotides in length. Their secondary structure includes four short double-helical elements and three loops (D, anti-codon, and T loops).
Source: RNAcentral
GCGCCCAUAGCUCAACUGGAUAGAGUGUGUGCCUUCGAAGCACAAGGUUCCAGGUUCAAGUCCUGGUGGGCGCG